CUUUUGACCUCAAAUCAGGUAGGACUACCCGCUGAACUUAAGCAUAUCAAUAAGCGGAGGAAAAGAAACUAACAAGGAUUCCCCUAAUAACUGCGAGUGAAGAGGGAAAAGCUCAAAUUUAAAAUCUGGCAGUCUUUGAUUGUCCGAGUUGUAAUUUAGAGAAGUGUUACCCGCGCUGGACCGUGUAUAAGUCUCCUGGGAUGGAGCGUCAUAGAGGGUGAGAAUCCCGUCUUUGACACGGACUACCAGGGCAUUGUGGUGCGCUCUCGAAGAGUCGAGUUGUUUGGAAAUGCAGCUCUAAAUGGGUGGUAAAUUCCAUCUAAAGCUAAAUAUUGGCGAGAGACCGAUAGCGAACAAGUACCGUGAGGGAAAGAUGAAAAGAACUUUGGAAAGAGAGUUAAACAGUACGUGAAAUUGCUGAAAGGGAAACGCUUGAAGUCAGUCGCGUUGGCCAGGGAUCAGCCUUGCUUCUGUGAGGUGUACUUCCUGGUUGAUGGGUCAGCAUCAGUUUCGACCACUGGAAAAAGGCUUGGGGAAUGUGGCACCCUCGGGUGUGUUAUAGCCUCUUGUUGUAUACAGUGGUUGGGACUGAGGAACUCAGCACGCCGCAAGGCCGGGAUUCGUCCACGUUCGUGCUUAGGAUGCUGGCAUAAUGGCUUUAAGCGACCCGUCUUGAAACACGGACCAAGGAGUCUAACAUGCUUGCGAGUGUUUGGGUGGAAAACCCGAGCGCGUAAUGAAAGUGAAAGUUGGGAUCUCUGUCGUGGAGAGCACCGACGCCCGGCCCUGAAGUUUACUGACGGAGCUGCGGUAGAGCACGUAUGUUGG
This 828-nucleotide ribosomal RNA is filed under the name uncultured Ascomycota. RNAcentral describes it as "eukaryotic LSU rRNA". It matches the Rfam family "Eukaryotic large subunit ribosomal RNA", at positions 1 to 812 of the family's 3401-position model. Lineage: Eukaryota; Fungi; Ascomycota. The record is from RNAcentral.